Molecule: non-coding RNA, 155 nt
Filed under: Actinobacteria bacterium IMCC26256
Lineage: Bacteria; Bacillati; Actinomycetota; Actinomycetes
Also listed under: 1 other name
Description: FMN riboswitch aptamer (RFN element)
Rfam family: FMN riboswitch aptamer (RFN element)
About the family: The RFN element is a highly conserved domain that is found frequently in the 5'-untranslated regions of prokaryotic mRNAs that encode for flavin mononucleotide (FMN) biosynthesis and transport proteins.
Source: Rfam by way of RNAcentral
AUAGCCCUCGGGGAUCGGGUGUAAGUCCCGACCGGCGGUGAUCCUUGCCCCACAUCUGUGGUGCUGGUAGCCCGCGAACCUGCCGCAGCCUGUGGCGGGCCGACUAGGUGAGACUCCUAGGCCGACGGUCAAAGUCCGGAUGAAAUGGGGGCGAC